GACGGGGGAUGCAAGUGUUAUCCGGAAUCACUGGGCGUAAAGCGUCUGCAGGUGGUUUCCUAAGUCCACUGUUAAACCUUGAGGCUCAACCUCAAAUCUGCAUUGGAAACUAGGAGACUUGAGUAUAGUAGGGGUAGAGGGAAUUUCCAGUGGAGCGGUGAAAUGCGUAGAUAUUGGAAAGAACACCGCUGGCGAAGGCACUCUACUGGGCUAUUACUGACACUCAGAGACGAAAGCUAGGGGAGCAAAUGGG
Molecule: ribosomal RNA, 253 nt
Filed under: uncultured bacterium
Lineage: Bacteria
Description: partial 16S ribosomal RNA
Rfam family: Bacterial small subunit ribosomal RNA
Source: RNAcentral